UAUCGCCGUAGAGGCGCAACGACAAAGAGUAACUAUUAUUGGGGUGAUGCCAAUGAAUAAUAGUGAAAGGUGUAAGUUGCCGAAGUAAGUUGCAUAUCAAAGCGGCUUGCUGGUGUUGUAUUCGAAUAGGAACAACACUGCCAUAGUCUUUUAUCUAUAAACUAUGGAGCGCUACUGUAGGG
This 182-nucleotide non-coding RNA is filed under the name Vibrio sp. RNAcentral's name for it is "Lysine sequence". It matches the Rfam family "Lysine riboswitch aptamer". From Rfam's summary of the family: Riboswitches are metabolite binding domains within certain messenger RNAs that serve as precision sensors for their corresponding targets. Lineage: Bacteria; Pseudomonadati; Pseudomonadota; Gammaproteobacteria; Vibrionales; Vibrionaceae. The record is from RNAcentral.